Molecule: ribosomal RNA, 269 nt
Filed under: uncultured bacterium
Lineage: Bacteria
Description: partial 16S ribosomal RNA
Rfam family: Bacterial small subunit ribosomal RNA
Source: RNAcentral
GCCUACGGGGCGCAGCAGUGAGGAAUAUUGGUCAAUGGCCGAGAGGCUGAACCAGCCAAGUCGCGUGAGGGAAGACGGCCCUACGGGUUGUAAACCUCUUUUGCCGGGGAGCAAAGCGAACCACGUGUGGUUCAUUGCGAGUAUCCGAAGAAAAAGCAUCGGCUAACUCCGUGCCAGCAGCCGCGGUAAUACGGAGGAUGUGAGCGUUAUCCGGAUUUAUUGGGUUUAAAGGGUGCGCAGGCGGAAGAUCAAGUCAGCGGUAAAAUUGA